UGGGGAAUAUUGGACAAUGGGCGAAAGCCUGAUCCAGCAAUGCCGCGUGAGUGAUGAAGGCCUUAGGGUUGUAAAGCUCUUUUACCCGGGAUGAUAAUGACAGUACCGGGAGAAUAAGCCCCGGCUAACUCCGUGCCAGCAGCCGCGGUAAUACGGAGGGGGCUAGCGUUGUUCGGAAUUACUGGGCGUAAAGCGCGCGUAGGCGGCUUUGUAAGUUAGAGGUGAAAGCCCGGAGCUCAACUCCGGAAUUGCCUUUAAGACUGCAUCGCUAGAAUCAUGGAGAGGUUAGUGGAAUUCCGAGUGUAGAGGUGAAAUUCGUAGAUAUUCGGAAGAACACCAGUGGCGAAGGCGACUAACUGGACAUGUAUUGACGCUGAGGUGCGAAAGCGUGGGGAGCAAACA
This 402-nucleotide ribosomal RNA is filed under the name uncultured Sphingomonas sp. RNAcentral describes it as "bacterial SSU rRNA". It matches the Rfam family "Bacterial small subunit ribosomal RNA", at positions 355 to 774 of the family's 1533-position model. Lineage: Bacteria; Pseudomonadati; Pseudomonadota; Alphaproteobacteria; Sphingomonadales; Sphingomonadaceae. The record is from RNAcentral.